Pelobates cultripes (western spadefoot toad) is the source of this 231-nucleotide non-coding RNA. The record is from the annotation of a GenBank genome assembly. NCBI's taxonomy places the organism in Eukaryota, Metazoa, Chordata, Amphibia, Anura, Pelobatidae.
UUUUUUUUUCAGGCAGCAGGGGGACUACCUGUCAUUCCAGGCACUCCCCCUGCAGGCAAUGCUAUGGACGGCUAUUCCGUCCAUGUGAUCAUGGACCUUGCGAUCACAUUGCCCAGGAGGGCCGGAACGGCAGCAGGGGGACUCCCUUGGAUCCGCGAUCGCCGGAGUGGGAUCACAGGCGAGCGGGUAAGUACACAGGACGGCUUAUGCCACCCGCCGACGUUUAGAGCC